RNAcentral lists this non-coding RNA (373 nucleotides) under Knoellia subterranea KCTC 19937. RNAcentral's name for it is "Bacterial large subunit ribosomal RNA". It matches the Rfam family "Bacterial large subunit ribosomal RNA", at positions 2555 to 2925 of the family's 2925-position model. Lineage: Bacteria; Bacillati; Actinomycetota; Actinomycetes; Micrococcales; Intrasporangiaceae. The record is from Rfam by way of RNAcentral.
GGAGUCUCUCCCAAGGGUUGGGCUGUUCGCCCAUUAAAGCGGUACGCGAGCUGGGUUUAGAACGUCGUGAGACAGUUCGGUCCCUAUCCGCUGUGCGCGUAGGAAAUUUGAGAAGGGCUGUCCCUAGUACGAGAGGACCGGGAUGGACGAACCUCUGGUGUGUCAGUUGUUCUGCCAAGAGCACCGCUGAUUAGCUACGUUCGGAAGUGAUAACCGCUGAAAGCAUCUAAGCGGGAAGCACGCUUCAAGAUGAGAUUUCCAUGGAGCUUAGCUCCGAGAGGCUCCCAGCUAGACUACUGGGUUGAUAGGCCAGACGUGGAAGUGCAGUAAUGCAUGUAGCUGACUGGUACUAAUAAGCCGACAACUUGAUACA